UACAGAGACCCUCAAGCGUUAUCCGGAAUCAUUGGGCGUAAAGCGUACCGAUCGGUGGUCAUACAAGUCAGAAGUGAAAUCUCCAAGCUCAACUUGGAAUCUGUCUUUGAAACUGUACGACUAGAGGGGCAAAGAGGAAGUCGGAACGAACGGUGUAGUAGUGAAAUGCGUUGAUAUCGUUCGGAACACCAAUAGCGAAGGCAGACUUCUGGGCCAAUACUGACGCUCAUGCACGAAAGCGUGGGGAGCAAACAGGAUUAGAAACCCCGGUAGU
Molecule: ribosomal RNA, 274 nt
Filed under: uncultured bacterium
Lineage: Bacteria
Description: partial 16S ribosomal RNA
Rfam family: Bacterial small subunit ribosomal RNA
Source: RNAcentral